RNAcentral lists this unclassified non-coding RNA (1860 nucleotides) under Hevea brasiliensis (rubber tree). Lineage: Eukaryota; Viridiplantae; Streptophyta; Magnoliopsida; Malpighiales; Euphorbiaceae. The record is from RNAcentral.
CCGUUUUAUCCUUUUUUUGCAAACCUCAAUUCAAGAGGAAAAAAAAAAUCUGAAUGAAUCAAAAAUUAAAAAUAUCCAAUGGAGAGAGAUCAUCAUUAUAUCACAUGGAGGAACUACCUAAUAUUAGCUAUGAGCCAACAAUGGUUUCAAUGGCAAUAGGCUGUUCCAUAGUAAUAAUAAUUAUAAUAAUAAUUCACUAACAUAGCGCCAUAAUUAACCUGGCAUAAUUCAGGUGCUUCCCUUCUCUAUGAAGUGUUGUUCUCCUCCAAAAAUUUCAUCAUCAUCUUCCUUCUGAUCGAGGGAGUUGGUUGUUAGGUUUUCUUUGCUAAUAAAACUUGAUAAUUUAGCAGUAGCACCUGCGGAGAAAUGACAAUGCUCCUUGACCAUCUUCAAAAGGUCUUCUACUGCUUCAAUAUCUCCCUUACCCUUCAAAUACUCAAGAAAAGAGGACAAAGUAAGGCUGGGCUUCCAUCCCCUCUUAGUUGUUGAGAUUGCUUUCUUUAUUGCUUCUCCUGCUUUCUUCAUUUGACCACUUGCACGAUAUCCAGUAGCCAAAUGAUCCCAUGUGAUCGCAUCAGGCUCCAUCCCAUUCUCUAUAAUCUUGUUUAUGCAUGCUUCAGCCUUUUCCAAAAGACCUCUUUUGGAAUAAGCACCAAUCAUCAAGUUUGCAAUGCGAAUAUCAAACAGCUGCUUCCCAGAAUCCCACUCCUCCCAUAUCCUCUCAGCACCAUCCAAAUCAUCCAACUUCACUAAUGAACUGAUCAUACAACUAUAGCCUGAAUUUAAAAACCUCCCAUUAUUUUUGUACAAAUUCCAAACACGGUAGACUUCAUCUUUAUUCCCAGCAGCAGCAUAUAAAGUGAGGAGCAUUUCCAAGGGUAACCAUUUUGACUUACCUUUAAUUAAUUGCUCUGAUCUCUUCAACAACAUUAAAGCCUUUUCAAUUAGGCCAGCUUUCAAAUAACCAUUUGCUGCAGUAACAUAAGAAUGGAAGUCCAUGUUGAUUACAGGAUCAGCCUCCAUCUUCAUUAGAAGUUUCUCCAUUCCCUCGAUAUCAGAAGAGGCUGCAUAAGCAUUCAACCUGACGUUAAACGUAAACAUGUCACAAUUGAUGCCCUUUUCUUCCAUCUCUUCCAUUAAAAUGUCUAAUUUCUCAUAUUUACCCAUCUGAGAAUAAAGAUUCAACAUUACAUUGUAAGCCAGUGGAUUUUUUACAAACUGCAACUCCUUCAUUUUUUGCAUGAUGCCCUCCGCUUUCUCUAAACAUUUCUUGUGCGCAUAGCAGUUUAAAAGAGAACCAUAAACCUGGUGGCCUCUUGAAGUAUCAGGGAUGCUAUGAAAAUAUCGCUCCGCUUCGUCUAAGCCAUAAACUUUGGUGAUCAAAUCUAACUGAAUUGCAACAUCUCCAGGAGAUAGGUUAUAGGCCCUUUGGUCACUCAUCCAUUGUGAUAUCUGAAGGGCUUGCUUGAAGCGGCGGUACUUGCGAAGCUGCUUGAUAAAUAUUCGCAGCUCCGAUUGUUCAACGCUUUUACCUUCCUCAAGCCAUUUCUCGAUAACCGUAACAAUCGAGACCGCCGGAUUUCCUGACCUCGAUAUCCUACGAUGCAGAGAGUCGACUGGCGCCGACGAGGAGUAAGAUGAAGAAGUUAGAGCAUCACUGGGAAGCAACUGAGCCCGUAAAACUACAUGAACACGACGCCACAAAUUUGCAUUUGAUCGCGGAAGCAACUUCAUAGUGGCGAAGAGAGACUGGAAACUGGAAGCAGCAAGAGAGUGAAAGAUGGAUUAGAGGUUCAAGAAAGAUUUAGGGCAGUUUCAUUUUAAGGAAGAUUUUUUUUUAGAGAGCCAAUUACCUUUCCA